ACCACUCCCAGGUUUCGUCACUUCAUUCCCACCCCAGGAACAUCACUGUCCAUGAUGGCAGUCUGCCCGGCAAUCUGGCCUGUUCCCAAGACUGGCGUUUCACUCCUCGAUUGCACCUGUAACCAAACUUGGUGAUCUCCUGCAACUGCUCUACCUCUGGUUUCUCCUAACAUACUACCCACAGCAACCUCAAACAAUGAAGUUUUGUACCAUUAUAGAGUCCUCUUAUUGGAAUGGAUUAGAGGGGAAGGAAGAAACUUAAUAAUUUUGUUGUAAGGAUUACAAAUACACCUACAUGAUAAAUUGGGGGCCGGGGAGGAUGGUCCUAAUGUGGUAACUUGGGUCAAACUUGCCAGUGAGUCAGACAUGUAUUUGAGAAGUGCUGCAUCUCAGACAGCUUAGAUGCAAGUGAAGGAGAUACACUUUGAGAAAUGGACUGUAGAUACCAUGAAGACGUUGAUGUCCAAGAUGCAUG
This 475-nucleotide long non-coding RNA is filed under the name Homo sapiens (human). RNAcentral's name for it is "novel transcript". Lineage: Eukaryota; Metazoa; Chordata; Mammalia; Primates; Hominidae. The record is from RNAcentral.